UGAAGGAAAACGGAACGGUGCUUCC
RNAcentral lists this non-coding RNA (25 nucleotides) under Mus musculus (house mouse). The record is from RNAcentral. Lineage: Eukaryota; Metazoa; Chordata; Mammalia; Rodentia; Muridae.